Molecule: ribosomal RNA, 472 nt
Filed under: uncultured bacterium
Lineage: Bacteria
Description: bacterial SSU rRNA
Rfam family: Bacterial small subunit ribosomal RNA
Source: RNAcentral
UGGGGAAUUUUUCGCAAUGGGCGCAAGCCUGACGAAGCAACGCCGCGUGGAGGAUGAAGGUCUUCGGAUUGUAAACUCCUGUCGACCGGGACGAAUGCACUCGACCUAAUACGUCGAGUUGUUGACGGUACCGGUGGAGGAAGCCACGGCUAACUCUGUGCCAGCAGCCGCGGUAAUACAGAGGUGGCAAGCGUUGUUCGGAAUUACUGGGCGUAAAGGGCGCGUAGGCGGCCUUGUAAGUCUCGUGUGAAAGCCCUCGGCUUAACUGAGGAUCUGCACGGGAUACUGCGAGGCUAGAGUUCGGGAGAGGAAAGCGGAAUUCCGGGUGUAGCGGUGAAAUGCGUAGAUAUCCGGAGGAACACCAGGGGCGAAGGCGGCUUUCUGGACCGACACUGACGCUGAGGCGCGAAAGCUAGGGGAGCAAACGGGAUUAGAUACCCCCGUAGUCCCUGAGCGGGCUGGCAAGGCGCAU